CCACUUGUCCCGCAGGGUCCCAGCCAGAGGCUUUACGCAGUCCCACACAUUCUCGGGGGUCCCAUUCAGGAUGCCUUCCCCUCGGUACCUGGAGCAAGAAAAGGGAAUGUGACUCCACAGCAUCAGACCUGCUUACCCUGGGACGCUGCAUGAGGCCUGGAUGCCACGCCUGUAGGUCUGUCAUCGCCCUCUAGGACAACCUGGUAGAGGAGGGGCUGACGUUUACCAGCCAACCUCCCCCCAGGCCUGCAGAAAUGGACAGCACGCAUUCCCAAGAAUAUAGCGUGCUGGAGACGAUUCAGUUAAAAACAUAAGCUUUUCUGGAAAAUAACUGGUGACGAAUCCAGGGUGUGAGGAUUGAUCAGCAUCUUAGGAAGCAAACCCACAGAGACAUCAGGAAGGCAGUGGCCCCUCGGACCCCUCGGACGAGCUUUGAACAAGGUGUGCACUUACAGCUUCCCUGGAAACUCCAUAGAUGGCCUCCAGCAAACGGAAACUCCGUUCUGUCAAAAGGCACAGAAUCGCAGAAUUUUAGGGCUGGAAGGGCUGUGGGAGAUCACCUGGCACAACCCCCCUGUCCUGUGGACAAGAAGUCGGGAGCCUCAACAGAGGUCCCAGCACCAAAAGUCACUUAAGUACCGGACGAAGAGCCCUCGGAAGAAGUCUAUGAGCAGAACGCUGGCCGCGGUGAAGAGCAUAUCGAUGAUGGAAAGCUUCAGCAUCUCCUGAAACACAGGGGACCCUUGGGUGCCCCACGCCCUGCCCUCCCGCUGCCCCCUUGUUCUUCAGGAGCCCCCCUCUCUGUUCGUUCCUGUGGGCUUGAGCCGCUGAGCCCCCUCCAAUAGCAUCUUUAUUUCUGGCACUGGAAGGGUGCUCAGUAAAUAUUUGUGAAUUUGAAUUUGGGUCUUGGUCUCUGGGGCCAGCAUGACGUGAGACCAGGGAAGACUCUGGGGUCUGUGGUUCUGAAUCUCUGGGGUCUGUGGUUCUGAACCACAGGAGGCUGUCCGAGGCCCGUGAUUCAGUCUCACUGGGAGAACACCUCGGAGUCGGGAUUCUCUGUCCAGAUCACGUCUGGAAAGGGGAAGGCAGAGGGGCUCAGGGCACAGGCGGGAGCAGACGGCAGGGCUCAGACCCUUAUUCUCAUCUUCGCUACCUGUAUCCUUGGGCAAGCGACCUGACUCCCCGUGCCUCGGUUUCCCUGUCUGUGCCUAUGAGGCUGAUCAGGACAGGAUUUUUCUGAGGACCGAGCACUUAGAUUGGCGCCCGGCAUACAUGAGACUUCACACUGAUUAUAACUAUUAAUUUGAGACCUGCGAAGCCAUGAACCCUCACUGACCCUUAUUUUCCUUUUUUUAUAAAGUGGGUGAUGACAGUGCAGAGUUAAGUGAUGAUAUGGAUGCAAAGGGUUCCGUGAGGGGGGAAGGGAGCCACCUGCCCCACGUAUGUCUCCCAGCACUGGUCCUGCAGACCCUGCGGGUAGACGGCAGUCCUGUUGGCCUCCGAGAGAGGCGGGGUGGCCGUGGGGGCACCAGCCCCUCCUGGGGCCCACGUGCUGUUCCUCCCGGGCUCUCCCCCAGGCCCAGGUGUGGACCAUUUCUGUUCCAUAGGGACCGUCCUGGUGGAAGUGAAGACUGUAGGAUCUAUCCAGGGACUCGUGCUGUUUUUUGUGGCAGCUUCCUGUGGGGAGAGGGAGGAAGGAAAACAAAAAGGUUUUCCAUGUAUUUGUAAGUAAGAAUUUAUCGUGGACCAAGGGUGUCCCCGCCGUGUUUGGGAAUAAUCUCCCUGUCUUGCUGUGUCCCCGUCUCCUCACUCUCCAGCUCGUGGAUUCUUCCUCGACGGAAGCUGGCCCCAGGAACGAAGCCAGGAUGUAACAGGCAGCACCGAGUGGUCCCUGCCGAGUGCCAGAGGCUGUUCCCGGUUAAGCCAUGUUCCGUCUUCCCAUCCUCACCAGAGCGUCGGGAAUUCUCCUUCACCUGAGACACGCUCGCCUGCCAUUCGGGAUUCACUCGCCUUCCAGCCCUACUUCCCAGUGACCACGUUAUUCUACUUGUACUUCCUGGAUCUUGGAUGGCAGGUGGAAAUAACAGUAACUAUUAAGAAUAGACAAGGGAAGGCUGAGAGGAAUAUUCAUACAAAUGGAGGGAAAGGAUGUUUGGAAUGAUAAGCCGUGGUGUGGAGCUGGUUCAGGAAGCGUUCGUUAUUGGUAACAUGGAAGCCACCGCAGUGCUCAGCGAUGGGCACACGGGCAGCUUUGACAAUGCGGCGGGACACGGCGUCGUCUCUACCGCAGGUCUGCAGCUCUUACCUCUGGAAUAACAAUGAAAGCACCUGUCAUAACUGUGAGCACAAUAUUGAUUCCAAACAGCCAUCGCAAGAAUAUGAAAUAGGAGGCGACACCAGAGCCGAAAUGACCUAAACAGAGACAAGGGGAUGAGAACAGGUCAUGGAAAACGCUCCUCGUGCAAGUUCUCCCAUGGCAACACCCACUUUUCCCACACCUGCGGGACACAGACGAGGCACGCCAGGACGGCGCGUUCCCGAGAGGGUCCUUUACAGGGGCCAGCACUCUCCUCAAUAUCUACCAGGGAAUGAAGAUGACCACAAAGUUACUGGCAAGGCGAGCAAGCUUCCGCCAGAGCUGCGGGGGAGGCAGAAGGGGAGAGAGCUUUACAGUCAUGGAGGCGGCAAAGGCCUCAGGGUGCGAGGGCCCUGAACGAGCCGGGGUUCCCAGACCCACCACAUGGUGCCUUUAAUUGUGGCUUCACAGCCUUGGGCAGCUGUAGGACCAACACAGCACCCGGCCCCCCAGCCUGUCUUCUCUGUGCUCCUGCCCAGGGAUGGCACCUGCUUUGGGCCCCGGUGUCUGCAUGAGGUGCGUUUUCUCUGGAGUCACAGCCUGCCUGUCCCCUAGCCUUUCUGCUGCAGGGACGGAGAGCAGGCCCCACUGCAAAGCACUUGAGGAAUGGCGUCCAAGCACACGGCUUGGCCGACCCUGGGAAGGGGCCCAGGAAUCCACACGGCCAAUGAACCCUCGGUGGUUACCACUCCCAGCCCUGCCUAAGGAUCAGGGGUCCAGAGCACACCCUGAAGACGAGUCCCAGCCCGUUGUGUGCCCUGCAUCCUGUAGCCUUCCUCCUGGCCAGAGCUGCCCGCCAGAAGGGUGCUGGGCCCUAUAAACAUGUCCAGGGUUAUAGAAACUUCUAAAUAUAGAAAGGGACUGGAAUGCUGUUCUGAAUGGGGGAGGGAAGAAGUGACGUGUCAGGAAGACGUGCUGGGGCGGGAGCAUCUGCAGAGGCCGGAGAAGUCACCUCUUCACGCCCCCCACCCUGCGCCCCAGCACGAAGCAUGGACUGACCCCCGAUCUUCAGGGGCUCGGGGGACGGGACAGACGCAGCUGAGGGUCGUGAGUGAUGCCGACAACCCGGGCCUAGUGCAGCAGCGGCCGGGCACCCCCAGGCGAGCCCCUACCUCUGCGCCUGCUGCCUGGUAGCCUCGGGUCCUGGUCAGCCUGCCUUCGAACUUCAGCACCAUCUCCUUUGCACGCCUGUGAGAGGAAAAGCGUGACGCUAUCAGUGGAUCUUGAACUUUAGGAUGUGAAUCGACUGAAUGGAUGUUCGAGAUACUGGAGGCCUCUCUCAGUUUCUGACUCAGUAAGGUCCGAGUAAAACCAGAAUUUUCAAUGAUUAAUAGGACUCUGGAGGCUGGAUGCUGACAUUUUUGGAAACGUGGCUGCAGAAGGCAGGUGCUCUGUUUCACCACCACUUCGGCUUUAAAGAGAAAGGGGCUGGUGGGAGGAGAAAUCAAGAAAACUCCCCACUAUUGCACAGCUAGGGAUUGGGAGAGGCAGCAUUUGAACUCAGGCAACCUGCCCUCACCCCUUCCGCCGUUUGCCAUGAUUUAAACAGGCUCUCUGAUAGGACGCCGAGCCCACAGAGAUUCCUCUCCCCCGGAGGAAGGCGAGAGCCACGCAUGUAGAAUUAACCCCUAUCUUUCUUUCUGGGCGAAUGCCUGUCUCUGGCGAGUUUGGUUACUUCGUUCACCUCUAGAAACAAUGCUAAAAUCUAGUGUUUGAAAGCGAGGGAGGAAACCCAAAAUGCCCCACUGACACACACGCCCAACCCAGACAUGCGCAUGCAGACACACGCACAGAGGAGCCGGCCACCCGGAGGCUGUGUGUGGAUGGCUGGACCCCUCAGAAAUCUCACCAAAGGAGACCAGAGAAUGAUUCCUGGAUAGCAACACCCCUGUGACUUCCCUAAGUCUGGUCAAGAGUGACUGGUGCACUCCUCACGCGGGUCGUCAUGCUCCUUUAACGGGCAGGAGGAUGUGGUUUAGCGGGAAGCACCCUUGCGGGAAGCCCACACUUGCUGUUGAAGUCCUUACCUCAGUGCCCGCAGCUUCUGUCCCAUGGUCCAGGGUCUGCAGCGAAUAUUUGCCAUGAGAUCUUUCUGGAACUGUAUAUUCUGGAAGAUCUGCUCUGGAUCGUUGCUGUCCCCUGCUUCUUCAGCAGUAAAGCUGUCAUCCAAGUUACUGAAUGGAUUAGGACAUUAGAGAGGAAAUCUGAUUAGUAGAAUUGCUUCCAGCAAAGACCUCCGUGCCCUGGGAAGGCCAGCAUCUCCCCGCCCGGGGGUCAUCUCUGCGAAGUGUGCGUGUGCAGGGCGGCAGACAGAGAAAUAGGCCGUGUCGGCAGCUGCGGAAGCACAUUCAUUGGAUUCUAUUACUUUGGUGGGUUGCUGAAACAGAGUGGUUUGUCAGGUCAAAUGGUUUCACGGAUGAAAGCUCCCACCAGAAAAUGUCCUAAAAGGAGACGAGAGAAUGCUUAUGGGUGAUUCCUGAAUAGCAACAGCUUUUGUGGUGGUGAAACAAUUUCUUUUUCAGGCUCCUUGAAAUAAUCAGAUAACUAUACAAACAGGCCCCCUCUUGUCCCUCAACUCUGGAGGUAAAAUAGAUAAAACCGAACUCCAUCACCCAGAGACCUCUCCUCACAUUCCCCCUUCGACUCAUUUGAAGCCCAAAAGAGCAGAAUCAGCAGCAAUUUCUAUGAACAAGACAUUAGCUAAACAAAUCUACAUGGACAAAUAUUUCAGGGAACUGGUUACGCUCCAGGAGAACAAUUUUUCAACAUGUAGCAACGUUUAUUCCCAGCAACAAUCAAUAUACUAAACCUAAUGCAACUUUUCAGGGGUGAGAAUAUUCAGUGACCACUAUUUGAUCAAUGGUGCACUUAAAAGAAAAUAAUUCCUUUGCUUUGCCCUAAUUCAGUUUGCUUUUACUUACUCAAAGGAGAAUUUUCUCCUAUUUCUCCAAAUUAAUGAUGCCUUUACAAACAUUUAACUAUUCAAAUAGCACUCCCUACUUCUAAUCAGCCUGAAGCCUUUUCCAGCAGGCACCUGAUCAUGACAGAUACACUGUCCACUCUCUCUCUGUCUCCUGGCAUUGCCCCAUGAGUAAACAGAGUAAAGAUGAAGCAUGCCUGUGGAUGUGGCCACGACAAAGCCAGGCUGGACCCAGCCUUUUGGACUCGGAUGCCCGGCCAGUGGGCAGGCAGAGAGCAGCUCAGUGUGCACACUGCUGAGGUCACAGGCCCAGGUGUCCAGGAAGCGAGAGAAAGGGGUCUCUGAGCUCGUGCGCAAGGAGAAGUGGGCAGGAUGGGGGCUUUGCCUUCCGGUCAAAGGCGAGUGAGGCUCGGGUGCCCUAGGCCUCCCUACCUUGCACGCCUCCUCUUCUGCCCAGGGACUGGGUGGGACCGGCUCACCUGAGCAGCAGGGACUCCUGGUAGAGGUAGUGCUGGCUGGCAUUUCUUCGGAUGCCUCUGUAGCGCUGGGACACCUUGGAGGGUUUCAUGGGGGCUGACCUGCUGUCAGGGAGCCCCAGGAGUGGGCAGGGUGCUGUGAAGCUGCAGACAAGGGUCUGCUGUCACUGAGGCUUCUGACCAGAGCAGCAAGUGGCCCUGCCCUCCCGCUCUGGCAGCCGGCUGCGUCUGCAGCUGGUGCGGGGCAGGGAGCCGCCAGGAGGCCCGUCAGCAUCUGUGAUGUGCAGGGGCUGUGGGCGGGGAUUGGCUGGAGGCGGGGCCAGCAGGGGCCUGGCCAGGUUGAUGAGGGCUCACUGGGCGCUGUCCAGAUAAUCACAUGACCCUUGGGCCCAGAUAGGGCUCUGAGGUUUUGCAAAGCAUCUUACAUGUAUUAGGACUGGUGUUCACAAAAUACUUUGUCCAGGACUUGCCCCAGUCUCACAAUAGAAACCUCUGCUUUUUAAUUGACACAGGAAAUGGUUGGUUUGCAGUAAGGUUAAUUGUACAUUAACUGAGUAGGAAGGUGCAAGACUGAAAUGGGAGCGGCCCCUCCGUUGAGUUCUCCACUUAGGGCACUGGAGACGCAGCCAGCGGGAGCGUAAAUGGAUGGGCUGGGCUUGCACAGCGGGGCGGAAGGAAACGCAACAGCUGCUCCUGGUUUGACCACAGAGAGGGACCUAAUCACCCAUCACUCAUCGUCCCUCCCUGUAAUUCAUUAGCAAGUAAUUAGAUAAGAUUUCUAAAUGAUUUUUUACAAUGAAAGUAAUGUGUAGUAAUUAAAUGAAAACUGGAAACAGUUGGAAAAUUAUUAACAGGAAAAAAGCCUAGAACCUUUGUUGCUAAAUGAUGCUGUUAACAUUUCCAGGGCUUUACCAAGGGUGUGUUUUCCUUGGUGUUUAUGUAUUUUGCAAUUUUACUGUAUGCAUGCGUGUCUCUUAACGUUUUCAUCAAUUUUACGUCUAAAGCAAUUUUCAUGUUUAAAAAAAUCUUCAGUGAACACAAUUUCAUGAACCAGUGGACCACAGAGUGGACUAUUCUAUCACAUGAAAUAUUCAAUUUUUCUCCAUAUUUUCUCACACUCCUUAUUUUCCUCUUGCAUGCAUUUUUUGAUACCGAUGGUUUUUUUCUGCUUUUAAUAUCAUUACCAUGAAAUUAAUGCCAUUUCUUUACAGUUAGUUCUCCAGAAGUGAAAUUACUGGAUGAAAGGGAAUAGCGUUUUUAAAAGUGCGGUAUGUUGUCGAAUGAAAGUCGCUGUCUUUACAGCUCUAUUGGUUUCACGUGUUUCCAUUAUUGCUGGUAAAAUGCACUUCCGGUUUGGCCGGCUUGUCUGGCCUCUGUGGUGCCCUUGGCGUGGUUUUUAAGUUUCCUUCUGGAGCACACUUGGCAUUCAUUUUGGUGAUGAGUUCAAGGUGUGGCUGUCAGGAGGGACUCGGACUCCCUUCCCCGGUUCCUCCCAAGGCCCUUCGGUUCCUCCCAAGGCCCUUCGGCUCCUCCGGGCAGAGAGAGGCCGCGCAGGGGAGGCGGCUUUCCGGAUGCAAGUGGAUCGAGCCUGCGGCGUGCAUUUUACUUCCUCUGACAAUUUCCUCAAAGGCUUCAGGUAUGCUGGGUGAUUUUAAGUUAAAUCAGCAUGUAUGUAUAGAUAAAAUGGCUAAAAAUCCCUCAAAUGGUUACAAUUGGAAUACUAAAAAAUCAGAAAGGAUGUCCAAUGUCAAAAUGGGCCCAAACCAUUAUUGUCUAGACCGACUGCUUUCAGGAUCUCCGUGGUGGGAGAAGGAAAGCAAUGCGGGAAAAGGAGAAAUGUAGCAAGUGAAACCUAUUUGUAAAACACAGAAAUUCCUUUCAGUCAAAAAAAAAAAUUAGAAUUUUGUUAUAAAUCCCAGUAGCUUUUAACUCGAAUCAUCAGAUGGCUUAGCUUACAGGAACAAGCACACUCAUUGCCUACGUCAUCAAUUAAAGAAAAAAAAAUUCCAUUCCCCUGCUAAGUGAAUUCUAUUCUUAGACGUUAAUGUCCCCGAGCCCAUCUGAGAGGGUGACACAGGCCUGCCACCCACAGCGCGAGCUCCCUGCUCUCAGCCAUCAGGCUCUUAGCUCUGGAUCUCCUGAGAGAGACUUCCCCAUUUCUGAGAUACAGUUACAUGCCUGCCGCAUUGUUUCAGUGACUCUUAAACUCUGUUUGAAGUUUAGAUAUAUUUUUGGGGGUCUGGAAAAGGUUACUUAGGGAAGAUGCUCAAGAGUAGAUCGUUUCCAGUUUUCUGAAUAACAGCUGAUGUUGAGACACCAGAGGAAUGUUUCUGCUGUUUUGAGUUUCUCAGGAAACACCAGCUGCAAGUAAGUUUGAAACUGGGCGGAGGCUGAGCUGUCCAUCUGGGGCCAUGCGCCACUUCCCAGUGGGGCAGAGAUGGGAGGGUCCUAGAGGGGGCUGCCCGGCUACAGUCGCCCCUGCAGUAAGUGAGCCCCAACAGAUGCCCUGGAAGGAGGGGCCGAUCAUCAGAUGGGUCGCAAAUGAGAUACAAGUCACAGAGCUGCCCUGUUCCGCUCUGUUGCGCUUUCUCAGGCAAAGAAAUUCUCUUUCAUAGGUGACUAAAUCUAAACACAUAAACUGUACUAGGAAAUGAAAGAAAUAUCAAACUUUCUCAAAAUCUGGGGUAAAGGAAAGCAGUUGAAUUUCUUGUCAAGUGACCAUGUAUAGUUGGCUGUGGUUUUUCUUGAACGAUUCUUAGGUUAUUUGAUUUCCUUACUGUCUGUGGACUUUUAGAAAGCCCAGCCAGGGUUGUCUCUGAGGAGGGGCAUAUUUGUGAGGGGCCUCAGGGACCCCUUAUAAACUCACACUGGCUGUAGAUGAAGAGGGCAGGCCAAGGGGAAGUGCCGGGCAGGUGGUCAGUCCGCAGGGAAGGCUCGUGGGUUGGGGAUGGUGGUCAGACACUGGCCACAUGCAAGGGGGGCGCGGUAGUCCUGGGGACCUUCUAGAUGAUGGCUGGCAUGACUUCAUCCAGGAACAUGGAGUUGCUGGUGAGUUAUGGCUCAUGGCUGUUGCCUGAGGACCUUCCCCUGUCCCUCUCCCUCAUUCUCUGGCCCUCAUAUCACUUAAUUUAGGACAUUACAGGAAGUUUCCCUUGUCAGCUGUUUGGUUUAUCUACACUGUAUCUUCAACAAGCAUGUUGGGAUGUGUGUUCUGAUUAGUAGCCUUUCUUUAUCAGUGUUGUUUACAGUUUUUCCCUUGGCUUUGUGAUCCGUGAACUUAGCCUUUCAUUCAAGCAUCGAGGGCCUGGAUCACCCUCAUUGCGUACCGUGGAAUCCCACUGACCGGGUGUGGAUUUGCCAGUUUCCCCUGACAUCUUCCCAGCUCCCAGUUCCCUUUGGGGCUCAUUAUUUCCUCCUAUCACCUCAGCUGCGGUUCUGUUUCAGGGACAGCCACUUCGUGUUGUUUCACUAAAAGAAGCAAACACAGUUUAAAAAUUACAUUUUAUUUUCUGUAGCCAGGGAGCUCUUUGUAAUAAGAGUUUACGGUAAAUCAGGCCCCUUCUCUUCUAGAACCUCCAGCAGCUUCUCCUCUUGGUCAGAAUAAAAGUCAAAUCCUUACCUAGACCUGCAAGGCUGGGGAAGAGCUGGUCCUUUGAUGCUUUCUGAGCUCAUGUCCUGCAGUUCAACGCCCUUGCUUUGCAGUGACCACACUGGCCAUCGUGUUUGUGGCCUCAGGCCGUUUGCACGUGUCAGAAUGUUCUACCCCAUGCACGUUCACUUGCCUACAGUCUUUUCUCCUUCAAGUCUCUUUCCAAAUGGUUCCUUAUCUGAGAGUCUCUGGCUUACCCUGUCUGUAAGCCACCCUCAUUUUCUUCUUAUCAUGCUUUAUUUUUUCUCUGUAGCACUUAUACUGCCUGAUGCUAGCUAUGCACAUAUUCGCACCUGCUAGCCCACCUGUUACAGAACUACACUUUAACAAAAAGUAAAAAAAAACACUUUUAUUACAUAUUACAUCUUUCUCUAAAGAAGACAGAAUUUACUCUAACGUGUGACUAAGCAAAAAUUGAGUCUCUUAUUUGUUCCGUGUCUCCUCAUCCGUUUCAUGUGUGCGUCGACUUGGGGUCAAAUCGUCUAGCCACCGCGUGCGGGCUCCACUGCCUGGAGAAGUCGCUGACUGUCCACGAGCCUGUAUUUCCUCACCUGUUGGGUGGAAAUGACCUUGCCGGGUGGCAAGGACUCAGGAUGCUGCAUAGGAUGUGCCUGGAGGAAACCUGGAGUCUAAAAACUGGCAACUAUGUUUUAUUGUGUCUGUAGCAACAUUGUUGUUUAAACCUCCCCAUGAAAGCAUGGCUUGAAUACUAUGAGUUUAGUGAUUUUGUGUGAACUAUUGUUAGAGCCAUUUCAUCACCAUCAUUCGCAUUGUUUUAACUUCAGCAUCAACGCCUGAGCACAGUGGUCGGAAGCCCCCACUUCCUGAUGCCCGACCUGAUUCAUCGGGGAAUUCGCCAAGAAAGCUGACUGCCAGUCUGUCCAUUCCAUGACAGACGCCCUGCCAGGCUCUGUAAUCUUCAACAAAUACAAAUAAAGAAAUCUUGGGCACCUCGUUUACAACAAUUCUGUUUCUCUCCUACCUUUCGGCUCCGCCCUUCCAAUCCCAGCUAAUGUCAAGGCCAAAGGAGAUUCCCAAGCUGUGGCUGGGGACCAGAGUGAAUGCGCCAGGAUGUGGCCAUGGAGGUGGUGGCUGAGACGGCAGAGCCGCAAGGCGGAGGAAGCUGGAUCUCCGAGUCACUGCACGGAGGAGGCCGUCCCUGGACCCACCAGGCUCUGACGGGAGCCGACACUGACCUUGACCGAGCUGAACACACCCUGCAGUGCUGACGCCCACAGACCCAUGUGUGACAUACCCAGUGUGACCAGGUAGUCUUGAUGGAUGUGACUGGUGGCGUGUCUCGGUUCUGUAAUAAGAAUCUCCUGGAGAGUAUCGGCUGAAGGAACGGCAGUCACUGGGAGGAGCAUAGCCUCUCCCCACCUGCUCGUAAGUCCCUGAAGCAGACGUUUCUGACGCCUGUUAAUCCCAGUGGCCAGGCUGAGCCGUCCGUGAUCUCACACGCUCAGCUCUGUUCUUUCCCGCUGCUGCUGAUCGGCCUGUAAAGGAAGUGAAGCAAACGCAGGGACAGCAUCUGCCGGCCCUGAUGCAGGUAAACAGGUGGAAGUUUAGCCAGUGUCGCCCCGAGGCAGCCCCAGGUGUCUGUUACUAAGAACAGGAAGCACUGGGCGUCCGUCCGGGCCUCGCUCCGGGAUAUCACCAGCUUCCGGAGACCAGGGGUCACGAGAAAGCCAUUCAAGCGGGUGUACCAGCUCAACACGUGUGCUGCUUUGGGAAGGCAGAGGCAGGCGUUAGCCUCUGGGCAAUGGGAGGUGGGGGCUGCUGGUCUCUACUGCGGCCCCCCCUGGACGGCGACCAGAACUCUAAGUCGUGGAGACCCGGGCUGCCGGCUCCCUCUGCUGCCGGACCUUUGCUUCUUACUCGCUCUUGUCCACCUGUCCCUGCCCUGGCUCUCCCCCAGCUCCUGGGGUCGGAAGGCAGGAAACCCCGGCUCUUCCGGUCUUACACUUAGGCCAGUGCAUCCUGGCACAUGCGGUCAUGUGUCUGCCUCUUUGUCUUCCGGAUCUGUGGUGAAUGGCUGACGUCUCACUGUCUGACCUUGCAGGUUGGGGUGCCGGCAGGUGGAUAAAAGACUCCAAUGAAUGGUGAUGAAAUUAUGUGACCCCAGAGUGCACGCACAUGCGUGUAUUUAUGUGUGUGUGUGUGUGUGUGUGUGUGUGUGUGUGUGUGUGUGAGUGAGAUGUACCAAGUCUUACUUGACUUUUGAGGCCUGACUCUCAGUGGUAAGUGACUCAAAUGAGGCCACGCUGGGAAGACAGCUCCCGGCGUCCUGGACUUGGAGAGACUCGCCUCGGAAUGCGGGGGACUUCUCCCCUUCACAUUCAUGAUCCCUGAGCUUCCCUGUGUUAAUCGACCGACGCAGGCCGUGUCCUGCUCUAAGGGGUCCCGUCCUGGGCGCGUUCAAGGGCAGUAAGCAAAUGGGUGCCCCCCGGCCUUUUCCUGCACGCAGCCCUACAGCCGCAGCCCGCCCAGUGGGACGUCCAGGAGGUACUGAGCCACCUUUUUAAAAGGACUGAAUGGUGCUGCCCCUGAUCCCAGGGGGCUGCUCAGUCUGGUUCCUCCCGACCCCGCCUAAACCCCUGCGCGAGCGGCUUGCCUGGGCCCUGCAUACGGGCCUCUUUGGAGGCAGUUCACGUCACAGCUGCUUAUUUCUCUAAGAUCAGCAGAGUCUCUCCCCCCUGUCUGCUGACAGCUGAUUCUGCAGCCUCUCUGGAACACAGUUUUUCCAUAUUGUCAGUGGGGUCCAAGGCUGGAGAGGAAAUCAGUCGGAGUAUUUCAUUCUGAAAUUCUAUGUACAAAAUUUCCAGGUGGACUGCGUUCCAGGGUCAGGAUAAAGUCUCCAUCUGGCGGCCAAGUUCAGUCCUGCAAGCACUCUGGGCGUAACUGACCACGAGCAACCCACCCGCGACCUGGAGGGGCGGCUCUGAGGUCCGUGACUUCCGUGAGAAGCACAGACACACCUUCUAAACUCUGGUCCAGCAGGACAGGCUUCGUUCCCAGCCACUUGGAAGGGGGUUUCAACUUACACAGUGAACUAUGAAAAGAUAUUGAUGCAGAAUUUAUGUACUAUAAAGGCAUCAUGUAUUGGGGGAAAUGACCUAGGGUCAACAACGCAAGGACAUACAUGAAUAAAAUAACUCAGGUACUUUAUAGAGAAAAACUCCUCCAAGUGUCUAAGUAAAAUAAAUUCACCUAAAAGUGGAAAAAAAUCCCUGGCUGGCUUCAGAUUUCUCCGUAGCAGCACUUAAAGCCAGAAGAGGGUGUAACAACAGCCCUUAUAGAUCCUCAACGAAAGAUAGGGUAACCCAAGGAUUUAUUUCCAAGCAAAUUGUCCGACAGGUACAAAGGCGAGAGACAUGCUUUUGAGUAAACACGACCUCAGACUCUUCUGAGAAAACUACCAAAGGGAUGAACCUCUGUGAAAAACGAUGUGAAGGCAGAGGAACAGUGAAAAAGGAAUAUUGUUAAUUGUAGAGCUAGGACUAAAUAAUGCAGAAGUGAGGGGUUAGAGGGGAAGACAAAUAUUACAUGUGCUGAUGAUGUAGGAAUGAUACAAGUAACAGAAAUAGGUGAGAGAGGUCAAUUCAAGGUGGGGAGGUAAAAAAGCGGUAUUUACCACCUGCUCUGCAAGAUUUGGGAGCCAAAGGAAUUAAUUUAAAGCCUAAAUGGAAAUCUUAGUUUAAAUUGAACAAUUAUACCUUUAAAUAGUUCAAAAGCAAUCCAGAGAGACAUAAUACUAUAAAUCAACAUGGGAUUGUAGGACAGGGAAGAGGGGACAGGAAAAGAAUGGGCUAAUUUACCGCUAUGGAUAGUGAUAACAUCUGAAGACACUGAGAAAUAACGGUAUUAAAUAAUGUCAUAUAGGCAAGCCCUGGAGGGCCUCGCAGGCCUCUAUAUUCAUCAGAAAACCCAACACACACACCACACAGUCAGAAAGACCUUAGAUAGAUAUAAACAGAAAUUAUAGUGUAAAAUAAUACAACAGAGAUAAAACCAAACUAUGUCUUGUAAAUAUGCUAAGGGUUUAACUAAUUUAUAAAGAGAAAGGUAUUUAUAUUGGGUCCACAGCAAAACAUGGUUCCCUUUUAUCCAGAACUGUGAUGGAGAGAGGCCGACACGAAAAUCCAGGCAAAUGAAUCCAAGUGAAUUCAGACCAGGUGCAUGGCACCCAUAGCCCCCCCACCAGAAAAGGCGGUGCUUAGCCCGCAGAAGGGAGGACAUGCCCACUGCAGCCCCACGGUGUGUGCGGUUAACUCAGCAGACCGGCUUUCCUGUCCCAGGCGUGAGCCCCACAGUCCGGCCUGGUCUGAGGACCCAAUAUAACUACUGUAAGAAUUCUGCUAAGGACAUUCCUUACAGCUGAAGUUCAGUGUGGCAUAGAGUCAUGAUUAUUUUUUAGGAUAAGUUCCUGAGGCUGGGAAAGGACACUGGCUUGUUCUAAAUUGUCCUCAACAGGGUGCCCCAAUUUUCUUCCCAGUAACCAUUCUAUGAGAGUGAAUGUUUAUCUCCCAAACG
This is a non-coding RNA of Manis javanica (Malayan pangolin), 13934 nucleotides long. The record is from RefSeq and is a predicted model, not a curated record. NCBI's taxonomy places the organism in Eukaryota, Metazoa, Chordata, Mammalia, Pholidota, Manidae.